Molecule: RNA transcript, 925 nt
Organism: Hipposideros armiger (great roundleaf bat)
Lineage: Eukaryota; Metazoa; Chordata; Mammalia; Chiroptera; Hipposideridae
Gene name: U2 small nuclear ribonucleoprotein B'' pseudogene
Exons: 3
Source: RefSeq, a predicted model, not a curated record
GGGAUAUUUUACUGUUUGAACAGUUUAACCCAAAACAUGGAUAUCCUACCAAAUCAUACAAUUUAUAUCAAUAAUAUGAAUGACAAAAUUAAAAAAGAAGAAUUGAAGAGAUCCCUGUAUGCCCUGUGUUCUCAGUUUGGCCAUGUGGUAGAUAUUGUGGCUUUAAAGACCAUGAAGAGGAGGGCACAAGCCUUUGUUAUAUUUAAAGAACUGGGCUCAUCCACAAAUGCCUUGAGGCAGUUGCAGGGAUUUCCAUUUUAUGGCAAGCCAAUGCGAAUCCACUAUGCAAAAACAGAUUCUGAUAUAAUAUCCAAAAUGCGUGGCGCUUUUGCUGACAAAGAAAAGAAGAAAGAAAAGAAAAAAGCCAAAACUGUGGAACAAGCAGCAAUGAUUGCAAAUAAAAAGCCUGGUCAGGGAACACCAAAUUCCGCUAAUACCCAAGGAAAUGCAACACCAAAUCCUCAGGUCCCUAAUUACCCUCCAAACUAUAUUUUAUUCCUUAAUAAUUUACCAGAAGAGACUAAUGAGAUGAUGUUAUCCGUGCUGUUUAAUCAAUUCACUGGUUUUAAAGAAGUACGUUUGGUACCUGGGAGGCAUGGCAUUGCAUUUGUUGAAUUUGAAAAUGAUGGACAGGCUGGAGCUGCCAGGGAUGCUUUACAAGGAUUUAAGAUCACACCAUCCCAUGCCAUGAAGAUCACCUACACCAAGAAAUAACAUUUGGGAUAGUUGUCUUUAAAGGACUUGGUGUUAUUUAUAGUGUUUGUUUUGAUAAUAUUUCGUCAAGUCAUUUUAAUAGUUGAGGGUGAGGGGAAGUAAAAGUGAAAUUUUUGUUCAGGUUUUAAAAAAUUGCCUAGUCUUCCUUUAGCCUUAGUGAACUAUAAAAUAUGAAGGCCUUAAUUUUGUACAAUAAACUUUUAUUUGUAUU